AAAGGGCGCGUAGGCGGGUUUGUAAGUCGACUGUGAAAUUCCUGGGCUCAACCCAGGGGCUGCAGUCGAAACUGCAAGUCUUGAAUGUCUGAGAGGGAGGUAGAAUUCCAGGUGUAGAAGUGAAAUUCGUAGAUAUCUGGAGGAACACCCGAGGCGAAGGCGACCUCCUGGCAGAACAUUGACGCUAAGGCGCGAAAGCGUGGGUAGCAAACAGGAUUAGAUACCCUGGU
Molecule: ribosomal RNA, 230 nt
Filed under: uncultured bacterium
Lineage: Bacteria
Description: partial 16S ribosomal RNA
Rfam family: Bacterial small subunit ribosomal RNA
Source: RNAcentral